AGACCUUAUACUAAAGUGUGUAAUAUGCACUAGUCUAAUAAAAAAGAAAAAGCCGUAAGAUUAAAUUUGAGCAAUUUGAUAUACCUUCCAAAGAUGUGUCAAUAUUUCUUUAGGUUCUCUAGAUAUGUAGCUCUAAACUUUUCAAGGUCCCUUAGUUACCAACAUAUUGACCAUUCAGUUAAAGUGCUAUAAUAUUUAUUCAUAUAAUAGUUUCAAAAACUAUCCGUAUG
Molecule: long non-coding RNA, 230 nt
Filed under: Elaeis guineensis (African oil palm)
Lineage: Eukaryota; Viridiplantae; Streptophyta; Magnoliopsida; Arecales; Arecaceae
Description: long non-coding RNA (EGUI_LNC047403)
Source: RNAcentral